CCCAAACUAAGUGACGGGAGUAAAGUUCUGUCGCUCUGCGUCCUCAUGCCAGCUUUGGUACACACGCUUUCAUCCAAACAUAAUAUACAAAUUAAAGAUUUUAAACUGGGCGUAUAAACCUCUCAAGCGCUGGGAUUACGGGUGAGUCAUCACGGCGGGCUGUGGGAGGACAGUCAGAAACUGAGGACCAGAAAAGUUAAAUGACCCAAUUCAUCACGAAAUCGGAAUUCGUUCAGACACGGUGUCAGCUCCUUCUACCGCCGGGUCCUGUGAACCCAGGGCUACCGAGGCUCGUUUUCCCACCCUCAGCCUGGCUGCCGGGACGUUUUUACUCGUCUGCUUACUGCUAAGGGACGCGCUAAUUACAGACUCCGAACUGAGUUGCAGAAAAUAAAUCCGGAAGCGAUAAAAACCAGCAACCUGCAAAAGGCCAGUUUCUUCCCAGCUCUAUGGUUAGAGCGUGACCUUUCUCCACUCUGGAGGACUCAGAAAGCCUGACCAAUGAGUCGAUCGCUCCUGUGCACAUGACAAGAGAACUGACUUCCUAUUGGCCAGUAUAGUGAGAGCCCGCCCAAUUACUUCCGGAAGCCUUCUUUAAGUGAAGGUCUCGCGCUCUCGUCUGCCUCUUAGCGACGGGUGGACUCCAGAUCUGCCCGGUGGAGGACGGCGGACAACGUGGACCUCGCCAACCUUUCCCCCAAGUCUCUGAAUAAAGUGUUUUGACCCCAGCGCUGGCGUCCGUGUGUCACUGCCCCCGAUGCGCUGCCUUUGAGCCCCCGGCGCCCUUCCUCGUGGCGCCGGGAGUUAAGCUGCGGCGCCACAGCAAUUGCUAGUUCAUAACUGGGGCCGUCUGCCCAUCGCGGGCGGCCCUUUUAACUGCUAGCUACAGGUCCAAACCAGCCUACCACAGGCUCUGCGGGGUCGAGAGAAGGCAGCGUGCAAGUGGCAUACCCGUGGGGAAACCAUGGCCCACGUGCGUGGACCUGUUGGGUGACAACUGAGGUGAUGCUCGCCCUACGGUAGAUAGCAGGAGAGGGAGCCUCAUGAAUAGCCCUGCAAGUGUAUAAUCGUCAUCGGUGGCACAUGGGUGUUGAGGCGACUGAAAUCUGGUCGGGGAGAGGGGCUCAAAGUAAUUAGGGGAGGCCGCCUAGAGGGAUCAAUGUUUGACUAGCAAAUGUGCUGUAGGUCCCUCUCCGUUACUGGGGUGUGUAACUGGGUUUGAGUAACUGGGAAUACCUAGUAGUUAUGCUAUGGAGGAAUUUAAGAGACAGGCCUCCUCUACCUUUGGAGCCUGUCCUGGACCUCUAUAAGAUCAGGCUGACCUUGAACUCGGAUGUAUCUUCCUCCUGAGUGCUGGCAUUAAAGACGUGUACACCACAGAGCAUUUUUUAAAAAUCG
Molecule: non-coding RNA, 1398 nt
Organism: Cricetulus griseus (Chinese hamster)
Lineage: Eukaryota; Metazoa; Chordata; Mammalia; Rodentia; Cricetidae
Source: RefSeq, a predicted model, not a curated record